This 64-nucleotide transfer RNA is filed under the name Limonius minutus. Its description in RNAcentral is "tRNA-Thr". It matches the Rfam family "tRNA". From Rfam's summary of the family: Transfer RNA (tRNA) molecules are approximately 80 nucleotides in length. Their secondary structure includes four short double-helical elements and three loops (D, anti-codon, and T loops). The record is from RNAcentral. Lineage: Eukaryota; Metazoa; Arthropoda; Insecta; Coleoptera; Elateridae.
GUUUUAAUAAUUUAAGUAAAAUACUGGUCUUGUAAGUCAGCAAUAAGACAUUUCUUUUAAAACU